UCCGUGAACUUUUCUUUCUCAUAUUGAAUACUAGCUCUGUGAUGUCAGUCAGCAAAAGAACGCUUUGCGUUUUCAAUGUCUAGUUUGGUGUCGAGUCGAAAGCGCAUGGCAGAGUAUUCCACCUUUUCUGACAAGUGGAGUAUUAUUGAGGAGACAAUACGCUGCAUUUUCAAAAAAGAGGUGUCGAAGAACUCGUUCCAGAGAAUACACCACUCUGUUUUUCAGUUGUGCCAAGCACAUUACGGGAGCCUCGUAUUGGAGCAGCUGGAAGAACAGUUUUUUGCCCAAGUUUCCAUCAUCGUCAAUCGAAUCGAUGGCUCUUCAACGUAUGUUGCCGAUUUUUUGCGUGAGUGGCAGGACUACAAUGACUCCGUGAGCCAAAUCAGCAACAUUCUCUUGUACUUCAACAAGAACUAUAUGUACGCCUGCCAUCAUUCUUCCAUCGAACAUCUUGGCGAGCGUAUCUUUUGCUCCUCUACUUUAGGCAAUCCUGAAGUCUCUGCGUGUCUGAUUGCCUCCAUCAAGCAGCUGAUUCACGUGCCUGCCGCAGAGUCCACGAUUCGGGACAUUGGCCAGGAAUUAUACACCGCAGAAGGCAGUAAGUACUUUGCACGUUGCAUGGAAACCCCCUUCGUCGAUGCAAUGGUCGAUAAGUAUGUUGUGCAAGGGGAGCAGCAGAAGCAGGCUCUCACCACUAGCGGUUAUUUGCAGUGGGUACAGAACGUUGUGUGUAGCGAGAGCCACAAGUAUGCCGAUACGUUCUUCUACAUUCUACUGGACAAGCUGAAAAGCGCACUUUACUCCUCACUCGUUCUCAGCGAUCCAUCAUCUGUAAAUGAAAUGCUGACGGGGCCGACAGGCUUGGUGCAGAUGCUGGAGGAGUGGGAUGUAGCCAGCAUUUCCACUUUUGUGCAGGUUUUCUGUGCGAUGAAGCGGGAGAAGGACGUCACUGACGUUAUUGCGCAUGUACUGAAAGAGAAAUGCGAGGACAUCAUAAACGAUCGAGACACAAGCACCUUUCCUUUUCCAGGGGUACAAAAGAUGCUGCAACUGAUUGAGAGGGCAAAAGCGCUUGACGGCCUCUUUCCAUCGGAAGAAGGGCAUAGCCCGUCACCAUUUUUACGUGUUAUUCGCAACGUCUUGGGCAAUGAUACGCGCUUUAUGGAAACCCUCUCGGUUUACUACGACAACGGUAUUCGGCAAGGCAAGGAUGAUAUUGUGAGCACAGUAGGAAACAAUGUUCUUACUAUUUUGCAGCUGACGCCUGAUCUUGAGGCCUUUGAAGUGGCGUUUCGAAGUCACCUGGCAGUUCGCUUGAUUUACGCGAAGCCGCACGCGGUGGAUAUGGAGUGUCUCUUUAUUGACCGCCUUUUCAACAUCUACGGAUCAAGUGUGGUGAAUCGAUUUCAAAAAAUGGUUGAGGAUAUCCGCAGUGCCACGGCUGCGCAGGAAAAGCUGAUAGCAGAUAUGAAGACGAAAAAGAUAUCCCCUCCCCUAGAGUUCGAUGUCCUUGUUUUGACAAGCGGUCUGUGGCCGCAGUACACCAACAUUCCUCUUAGCAUUCCGCAGAGCAUGGAAGCGUGCAAGCGCGUUUUUCAGGAUUACUACCGCCGGCGCCACAAUGGUCGGAAGCUCGUGUUUCAGAUGAGUUUGGGCUCGAUUGCUUUUCAGCUUUGCCAUGCUGGCAGAGCGUACCAUGUGUCGGCGCACACUCAUUUUGUGAACAGUAUCAUGGCACUGAACUCGGAUGAAAACUUGAGCGUUGCAGUCGUCGCUCGACAAGGUGCGCUCAGUUGUGACGAGGUACUUACUCAGUUCAACACCCUUUGCCACGUUGGUCUUGCCGAGCGCAACGGAACGGAGUUUAGGUUUAAUCGUAACUUUUACUCCUCGAAGCCGAAGGUAAAAGUGAGUGCAGGGGUGCAGAAGUCGGCUCACGACGGCGGUGGCGCCUCCACCGCCACUCGCAAAGGCAUGGAUGGCGCACGAACAAUGAGCCUGGAUGCCACAAUCGUGAAGCUCCUGAAAGAGCAUAACAGUAUGGAUUACCAAACUUUAUGCGGCGCCAUCGAAAGUGCGCUGCGGGAUGUAUGCUCCCCUACACGAGCGGAUGUUAAGCUGCGCAUAGACGCUCUGAUAGAGAAAGGGUUGAUAACGCGAGGUGAAUCGGCGCACUGCUACUUCUACUGUUCGUGAAAAACACGUCGUAUUUCUCAUUAAAAAG
Molecule: unclassified non-coding RNA, 2224 nt
Filed under: Leishmania donovani
Lineage: Eukaryota; Euglenozoa; Kinetoplastea; Trypanosomatida; Trypanosomatidae
Description: gene:LdHU3.36.4420(CDS-product:cullin-like_protei n)
Source: RNAcentral